Molecule: ribosomal RNA, 253 nt
Filed under: uncultured bacterium
Lineage: Bacteria
Description: partial 16S ribosomal RNA
Rfam family: Bacterial small subunit ribosomal RNA
Source: RNAcentral
UACAGAGGGGGCAAGCGUUGUUCGGAAUUACUGGGCGUAAAGGGCGCGUAGGCGGCCUUCUAAGUCGAACGUGAAAUCCCCGGGCUCAACCCGGGAACUGCGUCCGAUACUGGAAGGCUUGAAUCCGGGAGAGGGAUGUGGAAUUCCAGGUGUAGCGGUGAAAUGCGUAGAUAUCUGGAGGAACACCGGUGGCGAAGGCGACAUCCUGGACCGGCAUUGACGCUGAAUAGCGAAAGCCAGGGGAGCAAACGGG